Molecule: ribosomal RNA, 425 nt
Filed under: uncultured bacterium
Lineage: Bacteria
Description: partial 16S ribosomal RNA
Rfam family: Bacterial small subunit ribosomal RNA
Source: RNAcentral
GUGGGGAAUCUUAGACAAUGGGCGCAAGCCUGAUCUAGCCAUGCCGCGUGAGUGAUGAAGGCCCUAGGGUUGUAAAGCUCUUUCAGCUGGGAAGAUAAUGACGGUACCAGCAGAAGAAGCCCCGGCUAACUCCGUGCCAGCAGCCGCGGUAAUACGGAGGGGGCUAGCGUUGUUCGGAAUUACUGGGCGUAAAGCGCGCGUAGGCGGACUGAAAAGUUGGGGGUGAAAUCCCGGGGCUCAACCUCGGAACUGCCUUCAAAACUAUCAGUCUGGUGUUCGAGAGAGGUGAGUGGAAUUCCGAGUGUAGAGGUGAAAUUCGUAGAUAUUCGGAGGAACACCAGUGGCGAAGGCGGCUCACUGGCUCGAUACUGACGCUGAGGUGCGAAAGCGUGGGGAGCAAACAGGAUUAGAAACCCUAGUAGUCC